CUAAGCCAUGCGAGUCAAAUGUUCUUCGUGAACAUGGCGUACUGCUCAGUAACACGUGGAUAACCUGCCUUAGGACUGGCAUAACCCCGGGAAACUGGGGAUAAUUCCGGAUAGUUCAUGGUAGUUGGAAUGCUCCAUGAUCGAAAGCUAUUGCGCCUAAGGAUGGGUCUGCGGUCUAUCAGGUAGUAGUGGGUGUAAUGUACCUACUAGCCGACGACGGAUACGGGUUGUGGGAGCAAGAGCCCGGAGAUGGAUUCUGAGACAUGAAUCCAGGCCCUACGGGGCGCAGCAGGCGCGAAAACUUUACAAUGCGGGAAACCGCGAUAAGGGGACACCGAGUGCCAGCAUCUUAUGUUGGCUGUCCGCAUGUAUAAAUCACAUGUGUUAGCAAGGGCCGGGCAAGACCGGUGCCAGCCGCCGCGGUAACACCGGCGGCCCGAGUGGUGGCCACUAUUAUUGGGUCUAAAGGGUCCGUAGCCGGUUUGGUCAGUCUUCCGGGAAAUCUGACGGCUUAACCGUUAGGCUUUCGGGGGAUACUACCAGGCUUGGGACCGGGAGAGGUAAGAGGUACUACGGGGGUAGGAGUGAAAUCUUGUAAUCCUCGUGGGACCACCAGUGGCGAAGGCGUCUUACCAGAACGGGUCCGACGGUGAGGGACGAAAGCUGGGGGCACGAACCGGAUUAGAUACCCGGGUAGUCCCAGCCGUAAACUAUGCUCGCUAGGUGUCAGGGACGGGCGACCGUUUCUGGUGCCGCAGGGAAGCCGUGAAGCGAGCCACCUGGGAAGUACGGUCGCAAGGCUGAAACUUAAAGGAAUUGGCGGGGGAGCACUACAACGGGUGGAGCCUGCGGUUUAAUUGGACUCAACGCCGGAAAACUCACCGGGGGCGACAGCAAUAUGUAG
This 904-nucleotide ribosomal RNA is filed under the name uncultured archaeon. RNAcentral's name for it is "bacterial SSU rRNA". It matches the Rfam family "Archaeal small subunit ribosomal RNA", at positions 44 to 952 of the family's 1478-position model. The record is from RNAcentral.